GGUCCCGUAGCUCAGUUGGUUAGAGCGUAAGUGACAGGAACAGCAGCCUGUAGUCCAAGAUUCUAACUCACAAGCAGGUGGUGCUAAUAACGCCAAGGUCGCGAGUUCGACCCUCGUCGGGACCA
Lindgomyces ingoldianus is the source of this 125-nucleotide non-coding RNA. The record is from the annotation of a RefSeq genome assembly. Lineage: Eukaryota; Fungi; Ascomycota; Dothideomycetes; Pleosporales; Lindgomycetaceae.